ACGAACGCUGGCGGCGCGCCUAACACAUGCAAGUCGAACGAGCGAGAGAGAGCUUGCUUUCUCGAGCGAGUGGCGAACGGGUGAGUAACGCGUGAGGAACCUGCCUCAAAGAGGGGGACAACAGUUGGAAACGACUGCUAAUACCGCAUAAGCCCACGGUGCCGCAUGGCACAGAGGGAAAAGGAGCAAUCCGCUUUGAGAUGGCCUCGCGUCCGAUUAGCUAGUUGGUGAGGUAAUGGCCCACCAAGGCGACGAUCGGUAGCCGGACUGAGAGGUUGAACGGCCACAUUGGGACUGAGACACGGCCCAGACUCCUACGGGAGGCAGCAGUGGGGAAUAUUGCACAAUGGGGGAAACCCUGAUGCAGCGACGCCGCGUGGAGGAAGAAGGUCUUCGGAUUGUAAACUCCUGUUGUUGGGGAAGAUAAUGACGGUACCCAACAAGGAAGUGACGGCUAACUACGUG
Molecule: ribosomal RNA, 465 nt
Filed under: uncultured bacterium
Lineage: Bacteria
Description: partial 16S ribosomal RNA
Rfam family: Bacterial small subunit ribosomal RNA
Source: RNAcentral